ACGCUGGCGGCGUGCCUAAUACAUGCAAGUCGAACGGUCUUUCUAUGGAAGCUUGCUUCCGCUGAGAAGAUAGUGGCGAACGGGUGAGUAACACGUGGGUAACCUGCCCAUAAGAGGGGGAUAACAUCCGGAAACGGGUGCUAAUACCGCAUAGUUUUCUUGAUCGCAUGAUCGGGAAAGGAAAGACGGCCUUUGUGCUGUCGCUUAUGGAUGGACCCGCGGCGUAUUAGUUAGUUGGUGAGGUAACGGCUCACCAAGACGAUGAUACGUAGCCGACCUGAGAGGGUGAUCGGCCACAUUGGGACUGAGACACGGCCCAAACUCCUACGGGAGGCAGCAGUAGGGAAUCUUCCGCAAUGGACGAAAGUCUGACGGAGCAACGCCGCGUGAGUGAAGAAGGUUUUUCCGGAUCGUAAAACUCUGUUGUCAGAGAAGAACAAGUUGGAGAGUAACUGCUCCAGCCUUGACGGUAUCUGACCAGAAAGCCACGGCUAACUACGUGCCAGCAGCGGC
Molecule: ribosomal RNA, 513 nt
Filed under: uncultured bacterium
Lineage: Bacteria
Description: bacterial SSU rRNA
Rfam family: Bacterial small subunit ribosomal RNA
Source: RNAcentral